RNAcentral lists this ribosomal RNA (301 nucleotides) under uncultured bacterium. Its description in RNAcentral is "partial 16S ribosomal RNA". It matches the Rfam family "Bacterial small subunit ribosomal RNA", at positions 509 to 807 of the family's 1533-position model. The record is from RNAcentral.
CAGUAGCCGCGGGAAUACGAAGGGGGCUAGCGUUGCUCGGAAUUACUGGGCGUAAAGGGAGCGUAGGCGGAUCGUUAAGUUGGGGGUGAAAGCCCGGGGCUCAACCUCGGAAUUGCCUUCAAUACUGGCGAUCUUGAGUAUGGAAGAGGUAUGUGGAACUCCGAGUGUAGAGGUGAAAUUCGUAGAUAUUCGGAAGAACACCAGUGGCGAAGGCGACAUACCGGUCCAUUACUGACGCUGAGGCUCGAAAGCGUGGGGAGCAAACAGGAUUAGAGACCCGCGUAGUCCCUGUCUCUUAUAC